GACGAACGCUGGCGGCGUGCUUAACACAUGCAAGUCGAACGGAAAGGCCCUGCUUUUGUGGGGUGCUCGAGUGGCGAACGGGUGAGUAACACGUGAGUAACCUGCCCUUGACUUUGGGAUAACUUCAGGAAACUGGGGCUAAUACCGGAUAGGAGCUCCUGCUGCAUGGUGGGGGUUGGAAAGUUUCGGCGGUUGGGGAUGGACUCGCGGCUUAUAAGCUUGUUGGUGGGGUAGUGGCUUACCAAGGCUUUGACGGGUGGUCGGCCUGAGAGGGUGACCGGCCACAUUGGGACUGGGAUACGGACCAGACACCUACGUGAUGCAGCAGGGGGGAAUAUUGCACAAUGGUCGGAAGCCUGAUGCAGCAACGCCGCGUGCGGGAUGACGGCCUUCGGGUUGUAAACCGCUUUCGCCGGAGACGUAGCGUGCGUGACGGUAAUGGGUAAAGAAGCACCGGCUAACUACGUG
Molecule: ribosomal RNA, 468 nt
Filed under: uncultured bacterium
Lineage: Bacteria
Description: partial 16S ribosomal RNA
Rfam family: Bacterial small subunit ribosomal RNA
Source: RNAcentral